UAAACACUAAUAUAUGUGUUCAGCGAUGUCUCCCGAGUAAAACAGUACCCCCCAUGUACAGGUUUUAUAGCAUUUUUUAAAGUUACAAGGUCAAAUACAUGGGUCAAAUAUUUUUACAUUGAAAAUGGCCAGGUUGGUUACGUUGCCUUUGAGAGCGUAUGGUAGCCCAGGAAUGAGAAUUACCCCCAUGAUGGCAUACCAUUUGCAAAAGAAGACAACCCAAGGUAUUGCAAAUGGGGUAUGUCCAGUCUUU
Molecule: non-coding RNA, 253 nt
Organism: Pelobates cultripes (western spadefoot toad)
Lineage: Eukaryota; Metazoa; Chordata; Amphibia; Anura; Pelobatidae
Source: the annotation of a GenBank genome assembly